CCUCUCUGUCAGGGGAGGUUGCACCGCCCAGUCUCGCUUGGAGACUGAGCCCAGGCGGUUGCACCUCCUGACUGAGGCGGUUGCACCGCUUGCCAGAGCUCGAAGACUAAGCUCAGGCGGUGCUACCUCUCUGUUAGGGGAGGUUGCACCGCCCAGUCUCGCUCGGAGACUGAGCCCAGGCGGUUGCACCUCCUGGCUAGGGCGGUUGCACCGCCCAGUCUCCCUGGGAGACUUAGCCUAGGCGGUGCUACCUCCUGGCUUGGGCGGUUGCACGACCUAGUGCAAUCAGGGUCCGAAUGGGUAGAUCCAUUCGGCCCAACUUGGGUUUUUCAAGGGCCCAAUUGCCCCAAGAUUAAGCUAAUGGGAUCACCUCCCAUUUCCAACUUAAUCAUUGUGCUAACUACGAUAAAUCCUAAGACAAUUUCUACAGCUUGCUCCGGUACGUCAAUCGCUUCUUCCAGCGAGUUUUCGACGAACUUCCGUCGAUCAACCGAUGAACCCUCGGUGAUGCUCCUGCGGACUUUCGGAAAACUCCUGGACUUGCGACGAUCCACUUGGCGAGUUCCGACGAGCUUCUUUUGGCAAGCUUAUGGACUUCUCGGAUUUGUUCCUGUAGAACCUCCGACGACUAUCCGAACUUCCGUCGAACUCUCGAACUCCCAUCGUGAUCAUUGUCUUGACUCCGGCGCAACUCUUGUUGCAUGUCUAACUUUCAUCGUAGUUAAUCCUGCACACUUAUCUCAACACAUAGAUUAGACAACAAAUGACAAUUGACUUCAUCAUCAAAAUCCAAGAUUCAAUAGUUCCCUCCGAAGUUUCCCUCAGGAUAGCUGGAGCCCACGUGCGAGUUCUAUCAAGUAAAGCCAAUGAUUAGAGGCAUCGGGGGCGCAAUGCCCUCGACCUAUUCUAAAACUUUAAAUAGGUAGGACGGCAUGGCUGCUUUGUUGAGUCACGUCGCGGAAUCAAGAGCUCCAAGUGGGCCAUUAUUGGUAAGCAGAACUGGCGAUGCGGGAUGAACCGGAAGUCGGGUUAUGGUGGCCAACUGUGUGCUAACCCAAACACCACAAAGGUUGUUGGUUGAUUAAGACAGUAGGACAGUGGUCAUGGAAGUCGAAAUCCGCUAAGGAGUGUGUAACAACUCACCUGCCAGAUCAACUAGCCCUGAAAAUGGAUGGCGCUGAAGCGCGCAACCCACACCCGGCCAUCGGGGCGAGCGCCAAGCCCCAAUGAGUAGGAGGGCACGGUGGUCGCUGCAAAACCUAGGGCGCGAGCCCGGGUGGAGCGGCCGUCGGUGCAAAUCUUGGUGGUAGUAGCAAAUAUUCAAAUGUGAACUUUGAAGGCCGAAGAGGGGAAAGGUUCCAUGUGAACGACACUUGCACAUGGGUUAGCCGAUCCUAAGGGAUGGGGGAAGACCAUCCGAGAGCAUGUCUCCGUGUGAGCUCCGAAAGGGAAUCGGGUUAAAAUUCCCGAGCCAGGAGGUGGCGGCGGACGGCAAUGUUAGGAAGUCCGGAGACGCUGGUAGGGACCCCAGGAAGAGUUAUCUUUUUUACUUAACGGCCUGCCCACCCUGGAAACGGCUUAGCCGGAGGUAGGGUCCAGCGGUCGGAAGAGCGCCACAUGUCGCGCGGCGUCCUGUGCGUCCCCGACGGCCCUUGAAAAUCCGGAGGACCGAGUGCCGCCCAUGCCCGGUCGUACUCAUAACUGCAUCAGGUCUCCAAGGUGAACAGCCUCUAGCCCAUGGAACAAUGUAGGCAAGGGGAGUCUGCAAAACGGAUCCGUAAAUUCAGGAAAAGGAUUGGCUCUGAGGGCUGGGCACGGGGGUCCUGGCCCCGAACCCGUCGGCUGUCGCUGAACUGCUCGAGCUACUCUCGCGGUGACAGAGGGUCGCCGCGUGCCGGCCGAGGGACGGACCGGUAACAGCCCCCUCAGGGGCCUUCCCCUGGCGUCGAACAACCAACUCAGAACUAGUACGGACAAGAGGAAUCUGAUUGUUUAAUUAAAACAAAGCAUUGCGAUGGUCCCCGCGGAUGCUCACGCAAUGUGAUUUCUGCCCAGUGCUCUGAAUGUCAAAGUGAAGAAAUUCAACCAAGCGCGGGUAAAUGGUGGGAGUAACUAUGACUCUCUUAAGGUAGCCAAAUGCCUCGUCAUCUAAUUAGUGACGUGCAUGAAUGGAUCAACGAGAUUCCCAUUGUCCCUGUCUACUAUCCAGCGAAUCCACAGCCAAGGGAACAGGCUUGGCAGAAUCAGUGGGGAAAGAAGACCCUAUUAAGCUUGAGUCUAGUCCGACUUUGUGAAAUGACUUGAGAGGUGUAGGAUAAGUGGGAGCCGGUUCACCGGCGGAAGUGAAAUACCACUACUUUUAACGUUAUUUUACUUAUUCCUUGAAUCGGAGGCGGGGCUCGGCCCCUCCUUUUGGACCCAAGGCCUGCCUAGCGGGCCAAUCUAGGCGGAAGACAUUGUCAGGUGGGGUGUUUGGCUGGGGCGACACAUCUGUUAAAAGAUAACGCAGGUCUCCAAAGAUGAGCUCAACGAGAAUAGAAAUCUCGUGUGGAACAAAAUGGUAAAAGCUCAUAUGAUUCUGAUUUCCAGUACGAAUACGAAUCGUGAAAGCAUGGCCUAUCGAUCCUUUAGUCCUUCGAAAUUUGAAGCUAGAGGUAUCAGAAAAGUUACCACAGGGAUAUCUAGCUUGUGGCAGCCAAGCGUUCAUAGCGACAUUGCUUUUUGAUCCUUCAAUGUCGGCUCUUCCUAUCAUUGUGAAGCAGAAUUCACCAUGUGUUGGAUUGUUCACCCACUAAUAGGUAACAUGAGCUGGGUUUAGACCAUCGUGAGAUAAGUUAGUUUUACCCUACUGAUGAUCAUGCCGUGAUAGUAAUUCAACCUAGUAUGAGAGGAACCCUUGAUUCACACAAUUGGUCAUCGCGCUUGGUUGAAAAGCCAGUGACGCGAAGCUACCGUGUGUCGGAUUAUGACUGAACACCUCUAAGUCAGAAUCCUAGCUAGCAACCGGCGCUCUCGACCGUCGUUCGCCUCCCGACCCGCAGUAGGGGCCUUUGGCCCCCAUGGGCUCUUGU
RNAcentral lists this ribosomal RNA (3071 nucleotides) under Musa schizocarpa. RNAcentral's name for it is "eukaryotic LSU rRNA". The stretch from base 748 to 3071 matches the Rfam family "Eukaryotic large subunit ribosomal RNA". The record is from RNAcentral. Lineage: Eukaryota; Viridiplantae; Streptophyta; Magnoliopsida; Zingiberales; Musaceae.